AAGGUGCUACAAUACCUACUUAAGGAGAAGGUCAAAGAAAAGGAACACUCCUCUAGGGUAAUGGUCUCACGCUGGUAUCUGAGAGCUGAGACAAGUAAAUAAAUGAAAUACGUCAGGAAAGCAUGUUUGGUUUUCAAUUGCGACAACUUUAUUUCAGCUGUAUCAAGUGUAUAAUGUAAAUUAUUAUUUGAUAAACGUUGGCACCGUAAAGCAAAAACAGUUCACUGUACCUCAUGACUUGCUUAGAUGUCAUGUUUCAAAAGACGAUCUUUUGUGUCUUUCCUUGCUUGGAGAUCAUUCUGUCCAUGAAGUUUAAGAUUAUGUAUUUUCAUGAGUUUGUCCUCCCGAGGAACUUAAUGCAUCAGUUGAGGAACACCAUAAAGCACCUAAAACUAAGGCCAAGAUUGGUCAGUGCUGAGCUACCUGUGUUUAUAAAGGGCUUCUUCCUGCAUAAAGAUAUUUUUAAAUCUCCACUAUUCGGAAGACAAUGUACUUUUAUAGGUUUAAUGUCAAUAAUGUGACCCAUUAAAUUUUGUUCCUGAAGUCUUCCUAGUACAUCAUCAACAAGUGUAGCAGAUGUAGGUCACUGUUUUACUUAGAAAAGGUUUUUACCUAUUUGGGGUACAUAGAAGUGGUAAAUAUUUUUUAACCCUGAACUACUUUCUGCUUGCAAACCUAGUGAUAUGGGAAACAUAGGUUAAAAAAAAAUAAUAAAAUCCUUUAAAAUAAAGGAUUGGUGACAACUAGAUCUUUUGACUCCGGAUUGUCUUCCAGAUACACUCUGAGAAAUUUGUCAUACAAUACCUUCCCCACACUGCCACCUAAUGUUCAAUAGGAGUCCUACUGACAACUUAGGCAUUAAGGUCUAAAUUGCUGUAUUGCCAAAUUUAUCACAGGGUUAAUUGUUGUAUGGGAUUUUUUAAAAGAAAGCUUAAAAUGAACAUUCCUAUGUACAAAUGUGAAAAGUGAUCUGGCUGGUCGACUGAAUCAUACCCUAAACUCUGUUUACAAUCAUGCCUAAAUUUAUUUUGACUAGAAUAUUAACUAGCACAGCAGUGAUGAGCAGCUGAGGGAUGUUAAUUAUCAACCCUCUGAUUUUUUUAUUAUUAUUUAUUACUUAUGUUGCAAUCCCAAAUUCAGUGGCAGCAAAAGACUUUCUUCCUCAAGGCAAGUUCUUCAUACUUGAUUCUGACCCAACCAGGAUGGCAAAGUCUUUGCAUUCCUCCGGAGCAUGCAUUCACCCAUCACGGCUCAGACUUCACUGAGCUGUCCACCCCUAUGGGUUCAGGUGGACUACUCCUGGGGCACGUUCCCUCUUUGUUUAAGGUGGUGAUUCUUCUAGGAUUAAGGCAGUCUUCUCUUUCUUGAAGGAAGUAUUUCAGUGCUUGCCAAAAAAUGUCCUUUUGGCCGUGUCACAAGUUAUCUGGAGCCCUUCCUAUGCCUACCGCAACUGUUAUGCUGUCAUCAGAGGCACCUGGAGGUUUCUGGGGUACUUGGCAGAAUGAUCCCGCAGUGACUGGUCACAGGAAAGACAUCAAGACUUAACAAGAAUUAUGGAUGGAACAAGUUAAGAUCUGUGCGUGGAGGCAGCCAGAAGCCCGGGCAUUAUGCACAUGAGGGAAGAUCACCCGUACAGCACAGAGCUGCAGUUUGGCAGGGGAGGAAAGCAGUAACAAAGCAAACUGUACCAGGGAAGCUUUUGCAUUGUGGGGGAAGGCACAGGCAAUUGGAUUUAACCAUCUGGGUGGAAUUUGACUGGAUUAGCUUUGGCACAGUUUCACAUAGUCUUAAUUCAUCAGUGAAUGGAGUAACUAUAUUGGAAAACUACUGGGGAAAAACAACAUUGCCCCUGAUGCUACUGUCAUAGGCAGAUAGAGCACAAUCCCAUACAGUGUCUCUCUCUGUUUUUCUCUCUUCAUUGUCUCUCUAGCGAUUUUUUUUUUGUGCCAGUGUGUGUCUUCCCAUAUCAGGAUUGGCUGCCUUUUCUUGGUCUGAGAUCUUGGCAUGUAAAGAGCUAUAAUUACCCAAUGGUAUGGCAUGGUGACUACUAGCAAGGGUGGGACUGCCUCCUCUAGAACAAUAAAACCCCUUGUAUAGCAAAGCCUAACUAAACAAAACAAAAUAAUGUGUAAAAACAGACAGUGCUGCCACGAAGGGGUUUGCCAACUGGAGAGUCUAUAUGGAGUAUGAAUAAGAGGCUACUGUGUUUUAGUCCUUUCUGCUUGUGAAAGAUCCUGUUCUGUAAAGAGGUAUCUGUUAAUGUGUUCUGAUUUCAUACAGGUCUAGGCAAGAGUAACUCCUUCAGUUUCACUGAAGCUGCUCACAAUUUAUACAAGGAAUGAGACCUGAACCAGGAACAGAAACUUAGGUUAGCAUGUUCAGACAUAUUUUAUUCUCAAAUUCAGCUUAAAAAUAUAUAUAUUUUUGAAAGAAUAAACAAGUUUCACCCAACUCUCAACACAUGGCACUUUUGAGUAUCAGUCAUGGCAGCUUGUAGUUACAAACAUUUGUGUGUAACAUGAGCUAAUAUAUGUUAAUAUGCAAGGAAUUUAAGUAUUUAGAAGUAUAGCUCACUGUACACGCAUAUGCUCAGGCUGAGCCCUUUAUAUGAAGAAAAGCAUCAGGGAAGCAUCUUACUUUAGCUGUCAGCUCCAUAGAAGACCAGCCUUUUUAACCAGAAUAGUGCAAAGUUUUGUUUGAAGAACUGAUUUAAAGAAAAGUUAAAGGUUUCAGAGACAGGGAACCAAGCUGAAUACUGUGAACUGUACUGACUCAUCUCAAGAAUUGCCCCCAUGAAACACAUUCUCAAACUGAUUAAAUUUCUGUCAUUUUCUAUAUAGAGGUGAAAAUAGACUUUCCGCAGUUAAUUUUCAAACCAAGAGGUGAAACAAAAAAGUGAGGAAAUUCUCAGUAUGAAAAUUAAAGCUCUUAAAGUGUCCAAGCUUUCAACAGAGAAGUGUCCAGGCAUAAGCCUUAUUGAUUUUUAGCAGAGUACUACUAUUGUGAAUGCCUGUAGGAACACAUUUAGAAUUGUAGAAUUGUAACAUUACUCUCCUCAAGACAAAUCCCCUGUUUCUGUGAAUAUACCUGGAAAACACAGAAAAUGGAAACAGAGGUAAAACAAACAAACAAAAACACAACAACAACAA
Cygnus olor (mute swan) is the source of this 3149-nucleotide long non-coding RNA. RefSeq lists it as uncharacterized. The record is from RefSeq and is a predicted model, not a curated record. NCBI's taxonomy places the organism in Eukaryota, Metazoa, Chordata, Aves, Anseriformes, Anatidae. The transcript has 2 exons.